This is a long non-coding RNA of Ooceraea biroi (clonal raider ant), 1246 nucleotides long. RefSeq lists it as uncharacterized. The record is from RefSeq and is a predicted model, not a curated record. NCBI's taxonomy places the organism in Eukaryota, Metazoa, Arthropoda, Insecta, Hymenoptera, Formicidae.
ACAGAGAGUCGUCGGCCGGGGGCUGUACUUCGUGGACGCGCUGCCACCACGGGGAUGGGGAGGAUCGAUUCGAGGCCUGCGCUUUAGCGCAAGUUAAAGGCACAGUUCGAAGGGCACAUACGCGCCAAAUGCAGCCUUGCCCUGUACGUGUGUUGGAGCACGCACGUAACGCAUGUGGAGAUGCGUGAAACUGUGUGCACGUGUACGUGUGUGUCAGGGCAGACGCGAAAUGCUCGUACCGAAAAGGAGACGAAGUCGAAGAUCGACGAAGACGCCGAGACGGUGUCUACCGGGAGCAAUAUUCUAUAGCCAUAUAUGUAUAUGCAACAUAUAGGAGAACACGGGGAGACUUUCUCUUUACAUUACUCUUGGAUAUCUCUUGGAGAGUCCGAGUCUUUCUCGUGUAUAAUAAAACUUCGUACAUGUCGGAAUAAGUCGACAUGUACAUCUGGCAUUGGAAGAACACGAGUACGGGAAUUGAAAGAUCCGUAAGAAGAAUAUGCGUACGCGAUGUAGAACAAGAGAAAAUGUUGGAAAAAAACUAGACAGUUGUUGGAAAUUAGGCCGCUUUAUUGUAUCUUGAAUCAAACUGAUUUCUUUUCCGGAUGAUUUCUUUUGUGGAGUAUAUUUACAUAAAUAAUGGUAUUUAUUUUCUUUAAUAACAAAAUAUUAUCGGAAUUUGACAUUUGCAAAUUUACACAAUUGUUAGACCAUUCAACGCAAUUGUGUUUACUCUACGUACGGUAACAAUAAUUUGCUUCUUAAACAGAGAUUCACAUCUCCAUUGUUUCAUACUUGCACAUAUAUAUACUACAACUAUAUAUAUUUUUAGAAUUAGAGAUAUGAAGUGACAUAAUUCUACUCAAGUACUUUUCUUCGGAGAUGGCUUUUACACUCUACGCUAAAUACAUGUAGGUAUAUAUAACAAUAAUAAAAUUAAUUUUGAUAUUUUGAUAGGCAUAAUUUGCUACUGUUUAUAUAUUAUCUAUUUCUGAUUACGUUUUUCUGUCUAUGUAAAUAUGGUAUGUGAACUGUUAAAAAAAGGCUAUCUCACAAUCGAAGAAAACGAGUUUCUAAUUAUCAGGCUCUAGAAUGAUAUGUAAUUAGAUGGAUCAACGCGUUAGCAAUAACUCUAAGAAUAUUAUAAGACAAGUUCAUGUUAAACAACUGAAAGUCGAAAAUUAAUGUUGUUAUUACAUAUUGUUAAUGCAAAUUUUAGUGUUUUAAUAAAUUAAUAUUUUGGAAG